RNAcentral lists this unclassified non-coding RNA (319 nucleotides) under Hevea brasiliensis (rubber tree). Lineage: Eukaryota; Viridiplantae; Streptophyta; Magnoliopsida; Malpighiales; Euphorbiaceae. The record is from RNAcentral.
AGGAUUUCUGCAGGCGGCAAAAUCUCGCAGAGCUCCACAAAGCGGAAGCUACUUCGCUCAUCUUUUCGCAAACAUGUCUGGCUCAAGGAGGAAGACCAGGGAACCUAAGGAAGAAACUGUGACUCUCGGUCCUUCAGUGAGGGAGGGCGAGCAUGUGUUUGGCGUGGCUCACAUUUUUGCCUCAUUUAACGACACAUUUAUUCAUGUGACUGAUCUUUCUGGGAGGGAAACUCUUGUCCGCAUUACAGGUGGUAUGAAGGUGAAAGCUGACAGGGAUGAAUCCUCCCCAUAUGCAGCUAUGCUUGCAGCACAGGAUGUU